AUAAUAAUAAUAAUAAUAAUAAUAAUAAUAAUAAUUCGGUGGGGACGAGGGAUAAGGGGUCAUAAUAGUGUUACGUUAAGAACGACAACACAACACGGACAUGGACUCGUCGCCGAGCGUCCUCGGUCUCGUCCUCGUCAGCCCUUUGUGUUCCUUCGGACAAUUAUCGUCCGUCCAAUUAUUCGCAUCGCGGAUCGUCGAACUCACGGAAUCGUGCUUUUUAAUCGGAUAGUGCGAGUUUAUCACCAUCAUCAUUUAUUGUUCGUCGAUAAUUUCAACUACGUCUUCGUCGAAAAAGAACGUCGAACGAAAUAUAAUACGGAAUAAAUCCAAGAUCAUAGAUCGUAAACGAUCGUUCUUUCUCUAUUUUUCAAAAGAGAAAAACAUAUAUACGUAAAGUAAGAAAUAGAAAGAGAGAGAGAGAGAGAGAGAAAGGGAGAGAGAAAGGGAAAGUGUGAUCAAAGAUAAACAAAUAAAAAAAGAAAACAAAUCACAAUCAAAAGAAACUACAACAACAAAAAGUGUUUGUUCACGAAAUGGAUGCUUUGAGAGCGCGAGUGAUAUGGACAUUUUGGGGUAAUGAUAACGUUACGUCGUUCGACUGAACGCUAAAAAGAGAAGCUUGUGUUCGCAAGAAAGAAAGAAAGAAGGAAAGAAGGAAGGAAGGAAAGAAAAACCGAAAAAAAGAAAGGAAGACCGAAGAAAAGAGAAAGAGAGAGAGAGAGAGAGAGAGAGAGGGAGAGAGAGAGAGAGAGAAAGAGAGAGAGAGAGAAAAAAUGCAAUUGUCCUUUCGAUGAAAGAGAAGAGAGAAAAGAAAACAGAACGUUUCUCCUCGUUCGAUCUCGUCCAAUAAGAUUUGUGAUUGACCGAAACAGCGCGAUAAAGGAAGAGGAAGGAAGAGUAAUAGGGGUGGGUACGGAGCAUAUGUGGGACGGAGAAGAGAGAGGAAGACGCACAUUCGACAACAAAAAUUUUUAAAAAAGAAAUACAAAGAGAUAGAGAAAGAGAGGGAGAGAGAAAGAGAAGUAAAGAGAUAAAGAUAAAAAGAUUAAAAAAACAAAAAGAAAGAGAGAAGGAAAAAAAAGAUAAAAGAAAAGAGACGUAUGAUUAUUUAUAAAUUAUAAGGAGGGAGGGUAACAAACGCAAGAAAAUAAUUGUGACGUUCAGACUGACAUCCAGAAAGUUACUUUUUUCCCAACUGAGACUGUCGUCGUGUUCCAUCCAUUAACUUUAUUACUAAUUACUGCUAAAUUGCGAAUCAAUCGAAUACGAGACCCUCGUCUAUCGAGAACGUUUAAAAAGAAGUUUCAACAAGAAUACAAAGAAAAAAAGAAAAAGAAAAAAAGAAAAGAAAGCGGAAGGAAAAAAAAUUCAAGAAAGAAAAUAAAAAUAAAAGAAGAAGAAGUAGUAGAGAAGAAAGAAAGAAAGGAAGAAAAAGUGGAAGAUUAAGUUUAAGUCAACGACCCUUUUAACAUUUUAUACCGAUAUUUUAUGAAGCGAAUGAACGAAGAGAUACGUAUAAUCGAUUGAGAAAGAACUUUUUCAAGGUUCGUUUCUAAAUUAAAACGUAGAAACGAACGAGAGAAAAGAAAGGAAAUAAAGUUCGUAGAAGAGCUGGCACCGUGUGAUUUUUACGAAAUUUAAAAUUCUACGUUAACGACUAAGCACAAGUAAGAAAAUUUGCUUAUAUUAUUGCAAAUAAGUGUAAUGUUUAACGUUUAAUAUUCAUCAUUUAUCGGUAAUAUCGUUUUGCGAUAGCCACAGUGGAGAAAUAUUAACGGCACGCCACAAGAAGAAGCAAUUUAAAAGGAAAAAGAAAAAAAAAAGAAAAAGACAAAAAAAAGAAAGAAAAGAUAAGAAAAAAACUGAACAAAAAAAAAAUAAUAAUAAUAAAUAAUAAUAAUUUAAGGAAGAAACUCGCGAAGAAAAACGGAUUACGCACACGUUUGAUAAAUGUAAUCAUUUGCACAAUUAGAAAAGCACAAAGAGAGAGAAAGAUAGAAAGAGAUAGAAAGAGAAAGAACAAAAGGCAAAUAUAAAAAUCGUAGGAACGACGUCGUCGAUGAUUGUUUAAAAAUAUUAAACGAAAAAAAGAAAAAAAGAAC
Vespula pensylvanica (western yellowjacket) is the source of this 2105-nucleotide long non-coding RNA. RefSeq lists it as uncharacterized. The record is from RefSeq and is a predicted model, not a curated record. NCBI's taxonomy places the organism in Eukaryota, Metazoa, Arthropoda, Insecta, Hymenoptera, Vespidae. The transcript is spliced from 2 exons.